Molecule: non-coding RNA, 1330 nt
Organism: Zonotrichia albicollis (white-throated sparrow)
Lineage: Eukaryota; Metazoa; Chordata; Aves; Passeriformes; Passerellidae
Source: RefSeq, a predicted model, not a curated record
GUGAAGCCCUUGGGACUUCCUUGGUACAUGGUGAGGGCUGGAGAACCCCAGCCUCUAUGGGCAGCUCCUAAACAUCAAUAGUUCUGUCUGCUACCAUGGUCCUUGUUGUGCCCCCACUUUCUUUUCUGCAAGGAGGAAACCUCUCCUGCAAGGCCUGAGCCUUGCAGACACCUCCCCUGUGGGAAACAGGAGCAAAUCCCACAUGCCAGGCAGGAUGCAGCUGCACAGGAGAUGGACAGUGUGGGACAAAAGUGUUGCUCUCCAUCAGAAAUCAAUAAUUUCUUAAAAAUACCAUUAAAAAAAGACAAAAGAAGCGUCGAGAGCAUGAAACUUGGAUCUUAAUUUUGUCCUAACCUUUACAAAAUGGAUUGAAUAACUCCUGCAGCUACAUAGGAGUGAAAUCAGGCUGAUAGCUGCUGAAUUGCUCCAGAAGGACUGGCCUCUCCCUGCAUUCCCAGACUGGUCUGUCCUUGGUUCUAUGGUCUGCUCCCAGCCUUGCCUUUGUGUUUUGGUGCUAUUUCCAUCCUGGAAGAAGCCACACAGUGCUUCUGGCCCUGUUAAAUGGCUACAGCACAUUUUGCUGUAAUAAACUGGUACAUCAGUAGUGGUGGAGAGGCUGAUUUAAGUGCCUUUGCAGGAAAAGAAAAAAGAAUUGCUUUUGUUGGUUCUGUUAUUUUUGUUCUUUUUAAAGGAGGGAAAUGAAAUACAAACACAAUAGAAAUUUGAAAUACAAAUACAGUUUACAAAGGGAGAAUGUGUAUUUGUUCAGCAGCUUUCUUAGUUCUUCUUUGCGCUGUUUAGCCCCCCACAAGCAGCCUGUCCCAGCCUGUGAGAGUGCUGACCAAGGCUGUUUUAAUAGCAGGAGAUGAGAGGCUUGAGACACAAGUGCUUUAAUACAUAAAAGGAGGAGGUCCAGUUGGAAACACCUGGGAAAGAGCAUUUGUGCAAGUUUUUGGGCAGAACAGCCUGUACCUGGGAAGGGAACAGAGGUAGCCGUGCUGGGGAUGGCUCUGGGGAUGCAUCAGCUCCAGCUCAGGCUCUGGUUUCUCAGCCCUCCUUCAAGGUUCUCCCAGGGAUUUCCCUGACUCCUCUGCAUUGGAGUUUCUCUGCAUAGUUUAACUGCUCUAACAUUUUCUGUAUAAAGAGUCAAGCUCUGUGUGUGAUCCUCUAAAUCAUUAAAAAUGGGUCAGUGAGCAGUUUAGCAGGAGCACGAACUGGAAUCUCCCUGUUUUCUGUUUAUCAUCAUUCAUCUCCACCUGCUUGCCUUCAGAAAAAAGGGCUCUGAGUAACCCUCUGAGCUGUUACUGCUGUUGUACUGAAACCUGCUGUG